CCUACGGGGGGCAGCAGUGAGGAAUAUUGGUCAAUGGGCGAGAGCCUGAACCAGCCAAGUCGCGUGAGGGAGUACUGCCCUAUGGGUUGUAAACCUCUUUUGUCGGGGAGCAAAAGCCGGACGUGUCCGGCUGUGAGAGUACCCGAAGAAAAAGCAUCGGCUAACUCCGUGCCAGCAGCCGCGGUAAUACGGAGGAUGCGAGCGUUAUCCGGAUUUAUUGGGUUUAAAGGGUGCGCAGGCGGAUUUUUAAGUCAGCGGUCAAAUCGUGGGGCUCAACCCCAUCCAGCCGUUGAAACUGGGGAUCUAGAGUGUGCGAGAGGUAAGCGGAAUUCGUGGUGUAGCGGUGAAAUGCUUAGAUAUCACGAAGAACCCCGAUUGCGAAGGCAGCUUACUAAACUGUGACUGACAUUGAUGCUCGAAAGUGUGGGUAUCAAACAAGAUUAGAUACCCCUGUAGUC
This 458-nucleotide ribosomal RNA is filed under the name uncultured bacterium. RNAcentral's name for it is "partial 16S ribosomal RNA". It matches the Rfam family "Bacterial small subunit ribosomal RNA", at positions 338 to 795 of the family's 1533-position model. The record is from RNAcentral.